This 466-nucleotide ribosomal RNA is filed under the name Russula romellii. RNAcentral describes it as "mitochondrial SSU rRNA". It matches the Rfam family "Bacterial small subunit ribosomal RNA", at positions 470 to 949 of the family's 1533-position model. The record is from RNAcentral. Lineage: Eukaryota; Fungi; Basidiomycota; Agaricomycetes; Russulales; Russulaceae.
UGAUAUUACCUUAUUAUUAGUGUCGUCCAAAACUGGUGCCAGAAGACUCGGUAAGGCCAGAGACACAAACGUUAAUCGUCUUAAUCAGGCGUAAAGGGUUUGUAGGCGGCUUUAAAAUUUACUUAUAAAAAUAAAUAAUAAGUAAAGAAUAAAAGCUAGAAUCAAAUAGAGGAUAUAUGAAAGAAUGCUUAGAGUAGGUCUGAUAUCCUUAGAUACUAAGUAGAAUAUUAAAGGCGAAAGCUUUUUUCCAUUAAUGAUUGACGCUCAGAAACGAAGGUGAGGAAAGGAAAUAGGAUUAGAUACCCAGAAUACCCCUCUCUGUCAACGAUGAAUGGUAGUUAUUAGUAAAAAAUUAUUAAUAGCAAUGUUAACACGAUAACCAUUCCGCCUUGUGAGUACAACUGCAAAGUUGAAAACAAAAAAAUUAGUCGGUUUCGGAGCAAACGAAGUGAAGCAUGUUAUUUAA